UCGCGCGUCCCUCCGCGCUCCCGCCGGCGCCGCCCCGGCCGCCGCCCCGCCCGCGGCCUCGCCCUCCGCCGCCCCCUCAACCCCACAGCACCUCCGUGCCCGCCGGCCGCCAGCGCCGCGCUGAUCCCAGCGUGCCUGGAGCACUUGGGGAAACUGAGGCAGAGCGGAGCUGAGGACCAAACCCAGGGCCUCUACCGCUGAGCUAAAUCCCCAACCCCGACUUCUGAGUUCUGAGUCGAUUUGAAAGAUAUAAAAUGAUCUGGAGACCGUUAACAUUCUGGGAUUACAGCAAAACCUGACUGGCCUUUUUUUAAUGUACAGAGGGAACACAUUGAGGCCUGCAAUGAAGGUAUUUCCUGCUGAAGCCAAGCACUGUAGCUGCAACCCAAGCACAUGAGAAACAGAGGCAGAAUGAUCAACAAUUCAAGGCUUAAGGAUUGCUGAAGAAGAGAGGGCAGAGCAAGUGUGAGAAUUCAAGGCAGUGGAUGACUACAAGAAAAAUGUUGCCUCUGGAUGCAGCAGUGAAGCUGCACAAAUGAACUCACAGCAGUUGCAACAACAUGAAAAGAAAAAAAAAAUAAAUAGAAAGUAUGAAAGUCCAAGCCAGACCAAAUCCCAGCAUGGAGAUGGGAGGUGGGCAUCUCCUGGCUUUGGAGCUCCUGGCAGUUGUUAGCUGCUGGGAGGCAGAGAGUCUUCUUUAAAAGUGUAGCUCUGGUAAGUGGACCACUCUCCAGUGGAAGACCAUAUAUCCAAGAAUAUUUGGGCAAUACAAAUUGGUCUUGAUGUGUUUCAAAAAAUAAAAAAUAAAGGACACAAAGUCAAAAAGUUGGAAGAGUAGUGAAGUGGGUGGAUCUGGGAAGAGUUAGGCAUGGAGGAGUGACUAUGAUCAAAAUACACUGUAUAAAACCUAAAAAACUAAUAAAAAUUUUAAAAAUAAGAGGUAAUUGGGUAAGCCUAAAUAAAAGCUGUAUAUUAAAUGAUGUGUUCAGUAUCACUGAAUUAGGGUUGUUGCUGGUAGGGUUUUUUUUGGGGGGGGGAAAUGUGUGUGCCAAUACUAGGGAUUAAACCAAAUUUCCUACUAUUAAGCUCUACCUUCCCCUCCUUAAAACCUUUUAUUUUAAGAAGAA
This is a long non-coding RNA of Meriones unguiculatus (Mongolian gerbil), 1127 nucleotides long. RefSeq lists it as uncharacterized. Lineage: Eukaryota; Metazoa; Chordata; Mammalia; Rodentia; Muridae. The transcript is spliced from 5 exons. The record is from RefSeq and is a predicted model, not a curated record.